AAAGGAAUUGACGGGGGCCCGCACAAGCGGAGGAACAUGUGGUUUAAUUCGAUGAUACGCGAGGAACCUUACCCGGGAUUGAAAUGAAGUGGAAUAAUCGUGAAAGCGGUUAGUCAGCAAUGACCACUUUGUAGGUGCUGCAUGGUUGUCGUCAGCUCGUGCCGUGAGGUGUCGGCUUAAGUGCCAUAACGAGCGCAACCCUGACUGUCAGUUGCUAACAGGUAGUGCUGAGGACUCUGGCGGGACUGCCGGCGUAAGCUGUGAGGAAGGUUGGGAUGACGUCAAAUCAGCACGGCCCUUACAUCCGGGGCGACACACGUGUUACAAUGGCAUGGACAAAGGGUUGCUACCUGGUGACAGGAUGCUAAUCUCAAAACCAUGUCUCAGUUCGGAUCGGAGUCUGCAACUCGACUCCGUGAAGCUGGAUUCGCUAGUAAUCGCGCAUCAGCCAUGGCGCGGUGAAUACGUUCCCGGGCCUUGUACACACCGCCCGU
This 494-nucleotide ribosomal RNA is filed under the name uncultured bacterium. Its description in RNAcentral is "bacterial SSU rRNA". It matches the Rfam family "Bacterial small subunit ribosomal RNA", at positions 903 to 1397 of the family's 1533-position model. The record is from RNAcentral.